Molecule: ribosomal RNA, 120 nt
Organism: Gadus morhua (Atlantic cod)
Lineage: Eukaryota; Metazoa; Chordata; Actinopteri; Gadiformes; Gadidae
Source: Ensembl
GCUUACGGCCAUACCACCUUAGGCACGUCCGAUCUCGUCAGAUUUCGGAAGCUAAGCAGGGUCGGGCCUGGUUAGUACUUGGAUGGGAGACCUCCUCGGAAGGCCAGGUUGCUGUAAGUA